GUGGGGAAUCUUGCGCAAUGGGCGAAAGCCUGACGCAGCCAUGCCGCGUGAAUGAUGAAGGUCUUAGGAUUGUAAAAUUCUUUCACCGGGGACGAUAAUGACGGUACCCGGAGAAGAAGCCCCGGCUAACUUCGUGCCAGCAGCCGCGGUAAUACGAAGGGGGCUAGCGUUGCUCGGAAUUACUGGGCGUAAAGGGCGCGUAGGCGGACAGUUUAGUCAGAGGUGAAGGCCCAGGGCUCAACCUUGGAAUUGCCUUUGAUACUGGCUGUCUUGAGUACGGGAGAGGUGAGUGGAACUCCGAGUGUAGAGGUGAAAUUCGUAGAUAUUCGGAAGAACACCAGUGGCGAAGGCGACUCACUGGCCCGUUACUGACGCUGAGGCGCGAAAGCGUGGGGAGCAAACAGGAUUAGAAACCCGGGUAGUCC
RNAcentral lists this ribosomal RNA (425 nucleotides) under uncultured bacterium. Its description in RNAcentral is "partial 16S ribosomal RNA". It matches the Rfam family "Bacterial small subunit ribosomal RNA", at positions 354 to 796 of the family's 1533-position model. The record is from RNAcentral.